UCCAGCAGCCGCGGUAAUACGUUCCCGGGCCUUGUACACACCGCCCGUCACACCACGAGAGUUUGUAACACCCGAAGUCGGUGGGGUAACCGUAAGGAGCCAGCCGCCUAAGGUGGGACAGAUGAUUGGGGUGAAGUCGUAACAAGGUAGCCGUAUCGGAAGGUGCGGCUGGAUCACCUCCUUUCUAAGGAAUAUAUACCGUAGUCAAGGACUACAAAAACUUUAAAUCUUUGGCGUUUGUUAACUGGUUGGUGUUUAGUUUUGAGAGAGCAAUCUCUCCAAUGGCAAUGGAUAUUGCUAUUUUUGUUCCUUGAAAACUAGAUAAUCGUAAAAGAAGAAACCAAGUAAAAACCGAGUAAUUGCCAAAUUAGUUUUUCUCUCUUAUUUAUUGAAGAGAAUUAACCUUUAGGUUAAGUUAAUAAGGGCGCACGGUGGAUACCUAGGCACACAGAGA
This 454-nucleotide unclassified non-coding RNA is filed under the name uncultured bacterium. Its description in RNAcentral is "partial contains 16S ribosomal RNA, 16S-23S ribosomal RNA intergenic spacer, and 23S ribosomal RNA". The stretch from base 1 to 184 matches the Rfam family "Bacterial small subunit ribosomal RNA", at positions 1348 to 1533 of the family's 1533-position model. The record is from RNAcentral.